GAUGAACGCUAGCGAUAGGCUUAACACAUGCAAGUCGAGGGGCAGCACAAGGUAGCUUGCUAUCUGGGUGGCGACCGGCGCACGGGUGCGUAACGCGUAUGCAACCUGCCCUAUACAGGAGGAUAACCCGUCGAAAGACGGACUAAUACUGCGUAUGCUCACAACUUGGCAUCAAGUGGUGAGGAAAGAAAUUCGGUAUAGGAUAGGCAUGCGUCCCAUUAGCUUGUUGGUGAGGUAACGGCUCACCAAGGCAACGAUGGGUAGGGGAACUGAGAGGUUUAUCCCCCACACUGGUACUGAGACACGGACCAGACUCCUACGGGAGGCAGCAGUGAGGAAUAUUGGUCAAUGGGCGCGAGCCUGAACCAGCCAAGUCGCGUGAAGGAUGACUGUCUUAUGGAUUGUAAACUUCUUUUAUACGGGAAUAACAAGAGUCACGUGUGACUCCCUGCAUGUACCGUAUGAAUAAGCAUCGGCUAACUCCGU
Molecule: ribosomal RNA, 486 nt
Filed under: uncultured bacterium
Lineage: Bacteria
Description: partial 16S ribosomal RNA
Rfam family: Bacterial small subunit ribosomal RNA
Source: RNAcentral